GGGGAAUCUUGCGCAAUGGCCGAAAGGCUGACGCAGCGACGCCGCGUGGGGGAGGAAGGUCUUCGGAUCGUAAACCCCUGUUGCCCGGGACGAAUGCCCCUUGCGAGGGGAGUGACGGUACCGGGUGAGGAAGCACCGGCUAACUCCGUGCCAGCAGCCGCGGUAAUACGGAGGGUGCGAGCGUUGUCCGGAAUCACUGGGCGUAAAGGGCGCGUAGGCGGCGGGAUAAGCGUGCGGUGAAAGCUCGGAGCUCAACUCCGAGUCGGCCGUGCGAACUGUCUCGCUCGAGCACAGUAGAGGCAGGUGGAAUUCCGGGUGUAGCGGUGGAAUGCGUAGAGAUCCGGAAGAACAUCGGUGGCGAAGGCGGCCUGCUGGGCUGUGGCUGACGCUGAUGCGCGACAGCGUGGGGAGCAAA
This 415-nucleotide ribosomal RNA is filed under the name uncultured bacterium. Its description in RNAcentral is "bacterial SSU rRNA". It matches the Rfam family "Bacterial small subunit ribosomal RNA", at positions 356 to 772 of the family's 1533-position model. The record is from RNAcentral.